RNAcentral lists this ribosomal RNA (229 nucleotides) under uncultured bacterium. Its description in RNAcentral is "partial 16S ribosomal RNA". It matches the Rfam family "Bacterial small subunit ribosomal RNA", at positions 568 to 796 of the family's 1533-position model. The record is from RNAcentral.
UGCGCAGGCGGUUUGUUAAGUCAAUUGUUUAAUUUCUCGGCCUAACUGAGAGUCAGCAAUAGAUACUGAUAAACUAGAGUUUGGAAGAGAGAAGCGGAAUUCUCGGAGUAGCGGUAAAAUGCGUAGAUCUCGAGAGGAACACCGAUGGCGAAGGCAGCUUCUUGGUCCAUUACUGACGCUCAUGCACGAAAGCGUGGGUAGCAAACAGGAUUAGAUACCCUGGUAGUCC